RNAcentral lists this non-coding RNA (1162 nucleotides) under Thalassospira sp. MCCC 1A01428. Its description in RNAcentral is "bacterial LSU rRNA". It matches the Rfam family "Bacterial large subunit ribosomal RNA", at positions 1 to 1213 of the family's 2925-position model. Lineage: Bacteria; Pseudomonadati; Pseudomonadota; Alphaproteobacteria; Rhodospirillales; Thalassospiraceae. The record is from RNAcentral.
UCUCAAGCAUAAUAAGGGCAUCUGGUGGAUGCCUUGGCGUCAAGAGGCGAUGAAAGACGUGGCACUCUGCGAUAAGCUACGGUGAGCCGAGAGCAGGCUUUGACCCGUAGAUUUCUGAAUGGGGAAACCCCACCCAAUAGGGUGAUCAUAUCGUGAAUACAUAGCGGUAUGAGGCGAACCCGGAGAACUGAAACAUCUCAGUACCCGGAGGAAAGGACAUCAACCGAGACUCCGUAAGUAGCGGCGAGCGAACGCGGACCAGGCCAGUGGCCUAUGAUUAAGAACCGGAACGAUCUGGAAAGGUCGGCCAUAGUGGGUGAUAGCCCCGUACGGGUAGAAAGAUCAUAGGUCCUCGAGUAGGGCGGGACACGUGAAAUCCUGUCUGAACAUGGGGGGACCACCCUCCAAGCCUAAGUACUCCUUGACGACCGAUAGUGUACCAGUACCGUGAGGGAAAGGUGAAAAGCACCCCGAUAAGGGGAGUGAAAUAGUUCCUGAAACCGGAUGCCUACAAGCAGUUGGAGCCUCUAUAUGGGGUGACAGCGUACCUCUUGCAUAAUGGGUCAGCGAGUUAGUCUUACAAGCGAGCUUAAGCCGUUAGGUGUAGGCGCAGCGAAAGCGAGUCUGAAUAGGGCGAUUGAGUUUGUGGGAUUAGACCCGAAACCAGGUGAUCUAGCCAUGAGCAGGUUGAAGGUGAUGUAACAGUCACUGGAGGACCGAACCCACGUCUGUUGAAAAAGACGGGGAUGACUUGUGGUUAGGGGUGAAAGGCCAAUCAAACCUGGAGAUAGCUGGUUCUCCGCGAAAUCUAUUUAGGUAGAGCGUCAGACGAAUACCUUCGGGGGUAGAGCACUGAAUGGGCUAGGGGGCCUUACCGGCUUACCAAACCUAAUCAAACUCCGAAUACCGAAGAGUACUAUCUGGCAGACAGACUACGGGUGCUAAGGUCCGUGGUCGAGAGGGAAACAGCCCAGACCGCCAGUUAAGGUCCCAAAGUUGUGGCUAAGUGGGAAAGGAUGUAGGACGGCCAAGACAACCAGGACGUUGGCUUAGAAGCAGCCAUCGUUUAAAGAAAGCGUAACAGCUCACUGGUCUAAAUAAGCUGUCCCGCGCCGAAGAUGUACCGGGGCUCAAGCCACACACCGAAACUGCGGAUUUGUUC